Molecule: transfer RNA, 76 nt
Filed under: Bacillus cereus
Lineage: Bacteria; Bacillati; Bacillota; Bacilli; Caryophanales; Bacillaceae
Also listed under: 5 other names
Description: tRNA-Ala
Rfam family: tRNA
About the family: Transfer RNA (tRNA) molecules are approximately 80 nucleotides in length. Their secondary structure includes four short double-helical elements and three loops (D, anti-codon, and T loops). Further hydrogen bonds mediate the characteristic L-shaped molecular structure. tRNAs have two regions of fundamental functional importance: the anti-codon, which is responsible for specific mRNA codon recognition, and the 3' end, to which the tRNAs corresponding amino acid is attached (by aminoacyl-tRNA synthetases). tRNAs cope with the degeneracy of the genetic code in two manners: having more than one tRNA (with a specific anti-codon) for a particular amino acid; and 'wobble' base-pairing, i.e. permitting non-standard base-pairing at the 3rd anti-codon position.
Source: RNAcentral
GGGGCCUUAGCUCAGCUGGGAGAGCGCCUGCCUUGCACGCAGGAGGUCAGCGGUUCGAUUCCGCUAGGCUCCACCA